GAGAUACAGUUCUGGGCCUAGUGUUUGAGAGAUACAGUUCUGGGCCUAGUGUUUGAGAGACACAGUUCUGGGUCUAGUGUUUGAGAGACACAGUUCUGGGCCUAGUGCUCACAUCAAUCAAUAAGUCACCAUGUGUGUCUGAUAAAUUAACAGCUUUAAUGGCAGAGGCUUUGCAGUGAGUGAUGCAUUCUAGUCAAGUGAUGUGUGUGUAUGAUUGUGUGCAUGAAUGUGUGUGUAGGGGGUUGUAUCGCAGGCAGGCACACACACACACACACACACACACACACAAACUUAAUCAAACAACGUUUAGAGCAAUCCCUCAGACUGUAACUGUAAGGUUCCAGUCUGAAACCCCCAGAGAAAUCAAAUAUUAAUUUAGACGAGAGCCACUGCUCAAUAUCGACUCUCCAAUCGAUGUGUGCGUGUGUGCAUGCAAGGAGAGAAAAAGAGAUGCAGGACAAACAAGAGAUUGAGUGAAGAGAAAAAGAGUCAGAGAGGAAGAAAGAGAGAAAAAGAUGAGUCCCUAGGACUCCAGCCUCAAUCACAGAAGUUUGAUCAAAGUUCUCUGUUUCAGUAUACAUUUCUGAACAGCAGGCCCGAUUCAAACAGCUCAACUGCAUGCACAGUAGGGGGGAAGACAAUCAGUGUAGCGCUCCCUUUUCAUCGAGAAAUGAUGAGAAUACAAGCUAUAGCGGCCUUCAUUCUCCUCCAGUCACAAAGCAACUGGUCUGUGAUUGCCCUGGACCCCUCGUUAGGCACCAAGAGCCUGUCCAAUCAACUCCAUCAUUCCACUACAGUGCAUGUGUGUGGGUGUUUUGUGUGUGUGAUGUCUGAAGACAGACACAAAUUGGCAAUCAGGUAACGCUAUCAUGGAUUGGACUUUCCUCAGAGGGAUCCUGACUCCAAUACCUUCUUCCUUUCCUCUCCUCCAUCUCCUCGUCGCUCCGGAGCGGCUCCAGCUCGACCCUGACAGGUUCUCCUGACAACUUAUUACCAUACAAUUACACGAGCUCUCUCUCUCUCUCUCUCUCUCUCUCUCUCUCUCAAUCACUAAAGUUUCUCACUUGUCUUAACCCUCAAUCCCUGUCUCUCCCUCUCUCUUUCUCACCCCUCCUCUUUUAUCACUAUCUCUAUCCACUUCUAUCAAUCUUUAUUGGUUCCCAUCUCCUAGGCCCAAAUAGAGCAUUAGAGUACAUGGCUCACUUUAAUCUGCAUUAGGGAAGAGAUGAGAGGGCAAUGAGGAGAGGAGGAGAGAGGAGAAGGUGAGGAGGAGAGAGGAGAAGGUGAGGAGGAGAGAGGAGAAGGUGAGGAGGAGAGAGGAGAAGGUGAUGAGGAGAGGAGGAGAAGGUGAUGAGGAGAGGAGGAGAGAGGAGAAGGUGAUGAGGAGAGGAGGAGAGAGGAGAAGGUGAUGAGGAGAGAGGAGAAGGUGAUGAGAGGAGGAGAAGGUGAUGAGAGGAGAAGGUGAUGAGAGGAGGAGAGAGGAGAAGGUGAGGAGGAGAGAGGAGAAGGUGAUGAGGAGAGGAGAAGAUGAUGAGGAGAGGAGGAGAAGGUGAUGAGGAGAGGAGGAGAGAGGAGAAGGUGAUGAGGAGAGAGGAGAAGGUGAUGAAAGGAGGAGAGAAGAGAAGGUGAUGAGGAGAAGGUGAUGAGGAGAGGAGAAGGUGAUGAGGAGAGAGGUGAAGGAGAGGAGGAGAGAGGACAGGGUGAUGAGGAGAGAGGAGAAGGUGAUGAGGAGAGAGGAGAAGGUGAUGAGAGGAGGAGAGAGGAGAAGGUGAUGAGGAGAAGGUGAUGAGGAGAGGAGGAGAGAGGAGAAGGUGAUGAGGAGAGGAGCAGAGAGGAGAAGGUGAUGAGUUGGAGAAGGCGAUGAGGAGAGGAGGAGAGGAGAAGGCGAUGAUGAGAGAAGGAGAGAGGAGAAGGUGAUGAGGAGAGGACGAGAGAGGAGAAGGUGAGGUGAUGAGGAGAGGAGAAGGUGACGAGGAGAGGAGAAGGUGAUGAGGAGAGGAGGAGAAGGUGAUGAGGAGAGGACGAGAGAGGAGAAGAUGAUGAGGAGAGGACGAGAGGAGAAGGUGAUGAGGAGAGGACGAGAGAGGAGAAGGUGAUGAGGAGAGGACGAUAGAGGAGAGGAGGAGAGAGGAGAAGGUGAUGAGGAGAGAGGAGAAGGUGAUGAGGAGAGGAGCAGAGAGGAUAAUGUGAUGAGGAGGAGAAGGUGAUGAGGAGAGGAGGAGAGGAGAAGGCAAUGAUGAGAGGAGGAGAGAGGAGAAGGUGAUGAGGAGAGGAGGAGAGAGGAGAAGGUGAUGAGGAGAGGACGAGAGAGGAGAAGGUGAUGAGGAGAGGAGGAGAGAGGAGAAGGUGAUGAGGAGAGGACGAGAGAGGAGAAGGCGAUGAGGAGAGGACAAGAGAGGAGAAGGUGAGGUGAUGAGGAGAGGAGAAGGUGAUGAGGAGAGGAUGAGAGAGGAGAAGGUGAUGAGGAGAGGACGAGAGAGGAGAAGGUGAGGUGAUGAGGAGAGGAGAAGGUGAUGAUGAGAGGAGGAGAGAGGAGAAGGUGAUGAGGAGAGGAGGAGAGAGGAGAAGGUGAUGAGGAGAGGAGGAGAGAGAGA
Molecule: long non-coding RNA, 2594 nt
Organism: Oncorhynchus tshawytscha (Chinook salmon)
Lineage: Eukaryota; Metazoa; Chordata; Actinopteri; Salmoniformes; Salmonidae
Source: Ensembl